Molecule: ribosomal RNA, 2132 nt
Filed under: Proteus mirabilis
Lineage: Bacteria; Pseudomonadati; Pseudomonadota; Gammaproteobacteria; Enterobacterales; Morganellaceae
Description: partial 23S ribosomal RNA
Rfam family: Bacterial large subunit ribosomal RNA
Source: RNAcentral
UGGGGGUGAAAGGCCAAUCAAACCGGGAGAUAGCUGGUUCUCCCCGAAAGCUAUUUAGGUAGCGCCUCGUGAACUCAUCUUCGGGGGUAGAGCACUGUUUCGACUAGGGGGUCAUCCCGACUUACCAACUCGAUGCAAACUGCGAAUACCGAAGAAUGUUAUCACGGGAGACACACGGCGGGUGCUAACGUCCGUCGUGAAGAGGGAAACAACCCAGACCGCCAGCUAAGGUCCCAAAGUCAUGGUUAAGUGGGAAACGAAGUGGGAAGGCUCAGACAGCCAGGAUGUUGGCUUAGAAGCAGCCAUCAUUUAAAGAAAGCGUAAUAGCUCACUGGUCGAGUCGGCCCGCGCGGAAGAUGUAACGGGGCUAAACCAUGCACCGAAGCUGCGGCAGCGACACAAAGUGUUGUUGGGUAGGGGAGCGUUCUGUAAGCCUGCGAAGGUGUACUGUGAGGUAUGCUGGAGGUAUCAGAAGUGCGAAUGCUGACAUAAGUAACGAUAAUGCGGGUGAAAAACCCGCACGCCGGAAGACCAAGGGUUCCUGUCCAACGUUAAUCGGGGCAGGGUGAGUCGACCCCUAAGGCGAGGCUGAAAAGCGUAGUCGAUGGGAAACGGGUUAAUAUUCCCGUACUGGUGGUAACUGCGAUGGGGGAACGGAGAAGGCUAGGUUGUCCGGGCGACGGUCGUCCCGGUUCAAGCAGGUAGGCAGAGUGAUUAGGCAAAUCCGGUCACUUAAUGCUGAGAUGUGAUGACGAACCACCAAGGUGGUGAAGCAAUUGAUGCCCCGCUUCCAGGAAAAGCCUCUAAGCUUCAGGUUACCAACAAUCGUACCCCAAACCGACACAGGUGGUCAGGUAGAGAAUACUCAGGCGCUUGAGAGAACUCGGGUGAAGGAACUAGGCAAAAUGGUGCCGUAACUUCGGGAGAAGGCACGCUGGCGGUAGGUAAAGUCCCUCGCGGACGGCGCUGAAGCCAGUCGAAGAUACCAGCUGGCUGCAACUGUUUAUUAAAAACACAGCACUGUGCAAACACGAAAGUGGACGUAUACGGUGUGACGCCUGCCCGGUGCUGGAAGGUUAAUUGAUGGGGUCAGCCGUAAGGCGAAGCUCCUGAUCGAAGCCCCAGUAAACGGCGGCCGUAACUAUAACGGUCCUAAGGUAGCGAAAUUCCUUGUCGGGUAAGUUCCGACCUGCACGAAUGGCGUAAUGAUGGCCAGGCUGUCUCCACCCGAGACUCAGUGAAAUUGAACUCGCUGUGAAGAUGCAGUGUACCCGCGGCAAGACGGAAAGACCCCGUGAACCUUUACUAUAGCUUGACACUGAACAUUGAGCCUUGAUGUGUAGGAUAGGUGGGAGGCUUUGAAGUGUGGACGCCAGUCUGCAUGGAGCCAACCUUGAAAUACCACCCUUUAACGUUUGAUGUUCUAACCUAGGCCCAUAAACUGGGUCGGGGACCGUGUCUGGUGGGUAGUUUGACUGGGGCGGUCUCCUCCUAAAGAGUAACGGAGGAGCACGAAGGUUGGCUAAGCAUGGUCGGACAUCAUGCGGUUAGUGCAAAGGCAUAAGCCAGCUUGACUGCGAGAGUGACGGCUCGAGCAGGUACGAAAGUAGGUCUUAGUGAUCCGGUGGUUCUGAAUGGAAGGGCCAUCGCUCAACGGAUAAAAGGUACUCCGGGGAUAACAGGCUGAUACCGCCCAAGAGUUCAUAUCGACGGCGGUGUUUGGCACCUCGAUGUCGGCUCAUCACAUCCUGGGGCUGAAGUAGGUCCCAAGGGUAUGGCUGUUCGCCAUUUAAAGUGGUACGCGAGCUGGGUUUAGAACGUCGUGAGACAGUUCGGUCCCUAUCUGCCGUGGGCGUUGGAAGAUUGAGAGGGGUUGCUCCUAGUACGAGAGGACCGGAGUGAACGCACCACUGGUGUUCGGGUUGUCAUGCCAAUGGCAUUGCCCGGUAGCUAAGUGCGGAAGAGAUAACCGCUGAAAGCAUCUAAGCGGGAAACUUGCCUCGAGAUGAGUCUUCCCUGUCGCUUUAAGCGACCUAAAGGAACGUUUAAGACUAAGACGUUGAUAGGCUGGGUGUGUAAGCGUAGCGAUACGUUGAGCUAACCAGUACUAAUGAACCGUGAGGCUUAACCUG